Molecule: transfer RNA, 83 nt
Filed under: Thermus thermophilus
Lineage: Bacteria; Thermotogati; Deinococcota; Deinococci; Thermales; Thermaceae
Description: tRNA-Leu
Source: RNAcentral
CCCGGAGGUCGGGGACGGGCACGGGCCGCGCCUGGUUCAGGACCAGGCGCACCACCCGCCCGGCUCGGAGGCGGGUGCCGGGC